AUGUCACGACUAGCAAAGUUGAACUUAAUCCCUAGUUUCACAACCGUUAAGGGAUCUAAGUGUCAAGUGUGUGUGCAAGCUAAGCAACCUCGUAAAUCUCACGUGACUGCGGAAACGAGAAAUCUUGCACCACUAGAACUUAUACAUUCAGAUCUAUGUGAAAUGAAUGGUGUUUUGACAAAAGGUGGAAAGAAAUAUUUCAUGACGUUAAUUGACGACUCCACUAGAUACUGUUGUGUGUAUCUUCUGAAAUCUAAGGAUGAGGCUUUGAACUUUUUCAAGAUCUAUAAAGUUGAAGUGGAAAACCAACUUGAUCGAAAAAUCAAGAGGCUUAGGUCUGACCGUGGUGGAGAAACAAAGAGAUAA
This 366-nucleotide ribosomal RNA is filed under the name Triticum aestivum (bread wheat). Its description in RNAcentral is "partial small subunit ribosomal RNA". The record is from RNAcentral. Lineage: Eukaryota; Viridiplantae; Streptophyta; Magnoliopsida; Poales; Poaceae.